RNAcentral lists this ribosomal RNA (468 nucleotides) under uncultured bacterium. RNAcentral's name for it is "partial 16S ribosomal RNA". It matches the Rfam family "Bacterial small subunit ribosomal RNA", at positions 28 to 507 of the family's 1533-position model. The record is from RNAcentral.
GAUGAACGCUGACAGAAUGCUUAACACAUGCAAGUCCACUUGAAUUUGGGUUUUUUCACUUAGAUUUGGGUGGCGGACGGGUGAGUAACGCGUAAAGAACUUGCCUCACAGCUAGGGACAACAUUUGGAAACGAAUGCUAAUACCUGAUAUUAUGAUUAUAAGGCAUCUUAGAAUUAUGAAAGCUAUAUGCGCUGUGAGAGAGCUUUGCGUCCCAUUAGCUAGUUGGAGAGGUAACGGCUCACCAAGGCGAUGAUGGGUAGCCGGCCUGAGAGGGUGAACGGCCACAAGGGGACUGAGACACGGCCCUUACGCCUACGGGAGGCAGCAGUGGGGAAUAUUGGACAAUGGACCAAGAGUCUGAUCCAGCAAUUCUGUGUGCACGAUGACGUUUUUCGGAAUGUAAAGUGCUUUCAGUUGGGAAGAAAAAAAUGACGGUACCCACAGAAGAAGUGACGGCUAAAUACGUG